CAACUCAGUCUUAGCAGUAGAUAGGAACUUAGAUUAGCAAAUAGACAGAUUAGGAUAAGAUUUAUUAUUUUGGGAGGGUGGAAGUUAGAUGGGAAAAAUAAGUAGCACAGAUAGAUUAAAAUAGACAUAGAAGAUAAGUAACUGGCAUGGGCCAGAUUGGCACCACACAAACAACAGGAAGUGGAGGAUUUGUGAUAGAAGUGGGCACUAGAGAAAAAGUGCCAGACUGAAGAUUAUGUGACAUUGAUUACCUCAAUGGUGGAGGGCCCCAGGAGUGGAAUCCUGAGGAGAAAUGACACUGGCUGGGAGAGGAGUUGGUGGUCUCUUGGUCUUGAGACUUCGAAGAGAGAAGUUUCACCUAGCCAGUAUGUGUCAGAGGUGGUCCUUGAAUGCAGAUAUCCCUGA
This 405-nucleotide long non-coding RNA is filed under the name Monodelphis domestica (gray short-tailed opossum). RNAcentral's name for it is "lncRNA (ENSMODG00000039589.1)". The record is from RNAcentral. Lineage: Eukaryota; Metazoa; Chordata; Mammalia; Didelphimorphia; Didelphidae.